Molecule: ribosomal RNA, 620 nt
Filed under: Salmonella enterica
Lineage: Bacteria; Pseudomonadati; Pseudomonadota; Gammaproteobacteria; Enterobacterales; Enterobacteriaceae
Description: partial 23S ribosomal RNA
Rfam family: Bacterial large subunit ribosomal RNA
Source: RNAcentral
GGGAGCCGUAGGGAAACCGAGUCUUAACCGGGCGUUAAGUUGCAGGGUAUAGACCCGAAACCCGGUGAUCUAGCCAUGGGCAGGUUGAAGGUUGGGUAACACUAACUGGAGGACCGAACCGACUAAUGUUGAAAAAUUAGCGGAUGACCUGUGGCUGGGGGUGAAAGGCCAAUCAAACCGGGAGAUAGCUGGUUCUCCCCGAAAGCUAUUUAGGUAGCGCCUCGUGAAUUCAUCUCCGGGGGUAGAGCACUGUUUCGGCUAGGGGGCCAUCCCGGCUUACCAACCCGAUGCAAACUGCGAAUACCGGAGAAUGUUAUCACGGGAGACACACGGCGGGUGCUAACGUCCGUCGUGAAGAGGGAAACAACCCAGACCGCCAGCUAAGGUCCCAAAGUCAUGGUUAAGUGGGAAACGAUGUGGGAAGGCCCAGACAGCCAGGAUGUUGGCUUAGAAGCAGCCAUCAUUUAAAGAAAGCGUAAUAGCUCACUGGUCGAGUCGGCCUGCGCGGAAGAUGUAACGGGGCUAAACCAUGCACCGAAGCUGCGGCAGCGACGCUUAUGCGUUGUUGGGUAGGGGAGCGUUCUGUAAGCCUGUGAAGGUGGCCUGUGAGGGUUGCUGGA